CAUUAAGAAGCUUAAAUGUUAAGCUAAAGUCUCUUAAACUUUUGAUGAUACCAUUACACAUAUCCUUAAUGA
Molecule: transfer RNA, 72 nt
Filed under: Orancistrocerus aterrimus
Lineage: Eukaryota; Metazoa; Arthropoda; Insecta; Hymenoptera; Vespidae
Description: tRNA-Lys
Source: RNAcentral